GAUGAACGCUGGCGGCGUGCCUAAUACAUGCAAGUCGAGCGAACAGACGCUGAUCUUGCUCCUCUGACGUUAGCGGCGGACGGGUGAGUAACACGUGGAUAACCUACCUAUAAGUCUGGGAUAACUUCGGGAAACGGGAUCUAAUACCGGAUAAUAUAUUGAACCGCAUGGUUCAAUAGUGAAAGACGGUUUUGCUGUCACUUAUAGAUGGAUACCCGCCGAAUUAGCUAGUUGGUAAGGUCACGGCUUACCAAGGCAACGAUGCGUAGCCGACCUGAGAGGGUGAUCGGCCGCACUGGAACUGAGCCGCGGUCCAGACUCCUACGGGAGGCAGCAGAAGGGAAUCGUCCGCAAUGGGCGAAAGCCUGACGGAGCGACGCCGCGUGAGUGAUGAAGGUCUUCGGAUCGUAAAACUCUGUUAUUAGGGAAGAACAAAUGUGUAAGUAACUAUGCACGUCUUGACGGUAACUAAUCAGAAAGCCACGGCUAACUACGUG
RNAcentral lists this ribosomal RNA (497 nucleotides) under uncultured bacterium. RNAcentral's name for it is "partial 16S ribosomal RNA". It matches the Rfam family "Bacterial small subunit ribosomal RNA", at positions 28 to 507 of the family's 1533-position model. The record is from RNAcentral.